Molecule: long non-coding RNA, 290 nt
Organism: Ostrinia nubilalis (European corn borer)
Lineage: Eukaryota; Metazoa; Arthropoda; Insecta; Lepidoptera; Crambidae
Exons: 2
Source: RefSeq, a predicted model, not a curated record
GUGUUAGUAGUGUACAUAGUGGGAGCCUAAUUAAUUCAUAAGGAAUAUCUUUUAGGUUUUGUAUUCUUGGAUGUAACCUAACAGCAAUCGGCUCAUCCACAUGGUUGAACGGUUUACCCAUGGUGCUACCGCUGUAUAAGGGCAUGCGUCAUAUUGGCCCAUGAAUACGAAUCUUAUAGAACUUAUGAAUUAUUAUUGACUCUCACUCAAGAUAUUAUAGUGUGUAACUCAAUCGGUUUAUAAUUCUCAUAUUUGAGGUUCUCGUAUACAUGGAUGUAACCUAACAGUAA